CACCGCCUGGGGAGUACGACCGCAAGGUUAAAACUCAAAUGAAUUGACGGGGACCCGCACAAGCAGUGGAGCAUGUGGUUUAAUUCGAAGAUACGCGCAGAACCUUACCAACACUUGACAUGUUCGUCGCGACUCUAAGAGAUUAGAGUUUUCGGUUCGGCCGGACGAAACACAGGUGCUGCAUGGCUGUCGUCAGCUCGUGUCGUGAGAUGUUGGGUUAAGUCCCGCAACGAGCGCAACCCUUACUUUUAGUUGCCACCAUUAAGUUGAGCACUCUGAAAGAACCGCCAGUGAUAAGCUGGAGGAAGGUGGGGAUGACGUCAAGUCCUCAUGGCCCUUACGUGUUGGGCUACACACGUGCUACAAUGGCAUUCACAAUGGGAAGCAAAGAGGUGACUCUAAGCAAAUCCUAAAAAAAUGCCUCAGUUCGGAUUGUACUCUGCAACUCGAGUACAUGAAGCUGGAAUUGCUAGUAAUCGCGGAUCAGCGCGCCGCGGUGAAUACGUUCCCGGGUCUUGUACACACCGCCCGUCACACCAUGGAAGUUGGUUCUACCUUAAGCCAAAAUGUUAACUUUCGGGAAACAUUUGACCACGGUAUAGUCAGCGACUGGGGUGAAGUCGUAACAAGGUAGCCGUAGGGGAACCUGCGGCUGGAUUACCUCCUUUCUAAGGAUGAUUAAAAAUUGUUUUUUUUAAUCUAAAUAUUUUACAGGUUAAUGUUGACCGUCCUCAUUUCUCUUCUUAAUCAAUGUUUCUGACUUAAAUGCACACAGGGGCCGGUAGCUCAGGUGGUUAGAGCGCACCCCUGAUAAGGGUGAGGUCGGUAGUUCGAGUCUACCUCGGCCCACCAAAAAAAUUUAAGAGAAGGGGGAUUAGCUCAGCUGGGAGAGCGCCUGAUUUGCAUUCAGGAGGUCAGCGGUUCGAUCCCGCUAUCCUCCACCACACAGUUGGAACAUUUAGAUCUUUAAAAUCGUAAAUAUAAUUAUUAUCAAUAUCUAUAUCCGAACAUUGGCUUAAUAAUUGAAGCUAGUGUUCAAACAAAAAUUUGAUUACACAGAAAUUUUUUCUG
This 1071-nucleotide small RNA is filed under the name uncultured Pelagibacterales bacterium. RNAcentral describes it as "bacterial SSU rRNA". The stretch from base 1 to 668 matches the Rfam family "Bacterial small subunit ribosomal RNA", at positions 867 to 1533 of the family's 1533-position model. The record is from RNAcentral. Lineage: Bacteria; Pseudomonadati; Pseudomonadota; Alphaproteobacteria; Candidatus Pelagibacterales.